GAUGAACGCUGGCGGCGUGCCUAAUACAUGCAAGUCGAGCGAACAGACGAGGAGCUUGCUCCUCUGACGUUAGCGGCGGACGGGUGAGUAACACGUGGAUAACCUACCUAUAAGACUGGGAUAACUUCGGGAAACCGGAGCUAAUACCGGAUAAUAUAUUGAACCGCAUGGUUCAAUAGUGAAAGACGGUUUUGCUGUCACUUAUAGAUGGAUCCGCGCCGCAUUAGCUAGUUGGUAAGGUAACGGCUUACCAAGGCGACGAUGCGUAGCCGACCUGGGAGGGUGAUCGGCCACACGGGAACUGAGACACGGUCCAGGCUCCUAAGGGAGGGAGCAGUAGGGAAUCUUCCGCAAUGGGCGGAAGCCUUACGGAGCAACGCCGCGUGAGGUAAGAAAGGCUUCGGAUCGUAAAACUCUGUUUUUAGGGGAAAACAAAUGUGGAAGUAACUAUGCACGUCUUGACGGUACCUAAUCAGAAAGCCACGGGUAACUACGUG
RNAcentral lists this ribosomal RNA (497 nucleotides) under uncultured bacterium. RNAcentral's name for it is "partial 16S ribosomal RNA". It matches the Rfam family "Bacterial small subunit ribosomal RNA", at positions 28 to 507 of the family's 1533-position model. The record is from RNAcentral.